Non-coding RNA from Musa acuminata subsp. malaccensis (wild Malaysian banana), 1822 nucleotides. NCBI's taxonomy places the organism in Eukaryota, Viridiplantae, Streptophyta, Magnoliopsida, Zingiberales, Musaceae. The record is from RefSeq and is a predicted model, not a curated record.
GUCUGGGCUGUUUCAUGCGUAGGACGCCAAGUCAUUCGCGGAAAAGGCCACCGUGCGGGGGUACAGUCAGCAUCGUUACCUGGGCGAGACGAGAGGGAGAGGGAGAGGGAGAAGGCCGCUCGGCACACGCGAGGGCGAGGGUUUCUCCACCCCGCCCCCCUCCUCUCUAACACCGAGCAGAGCAAGCAGCAGCACUAAUCCCCCAAACCAACACACCGACCCUAAUUCAACUCGGCGACGCAGGUUAUUCGAGGACAGCUUGGAGAAUGGUGUCGGACGAUCCCUCUACUACUAUUAACGAGUCAAAUGUGGCAACUGAGUCGACAGUUGGCGGAACCAGACCGACAAAACAAUUGUAAGGCUUCCAUAUUGGGUGAUACUGCCUGAGUACUCAGAUAUCUCUUCGCGCAUGUAGAAUCUCUCAGGAAGGAAAAUGCAGCUAUGCUAUCUGAAUCACACUAUUAGUAUAAAACCUAACCGUCGACCCUAAAUCUUAGAAAUGUUGUCACUUUUGUAUGCCAUGGAUAUACAUAAAUGUCGAUAGAAACUCCACUGCAUAAGUUAAUUGAAAUAUCAAAACUUGCAAGGCGAUUUUAUUCUACUCUUUGUUGAUUAGAGAAAGACCACAUUUUAUACCAUGCGGCAAAUGAAACUUUACAUCGUUGUUGGCAUCUACUAUAAGAUUGCAGAAAUUUUGCCAUUGGUAAAUUAAAUAUCUCUAGCAAUUAUGUGCUUAGCACUGAAGUUAUUAGUUAAUUUAUUGCCUGCAAGAUGUUGGUAUACUGGCUCAUUUGUUCAGACAUUUUUAGCAAAUUCCAAAAAGAUGCUCACUACAAUCUAACUUCUUUUGAUACCACUAGAAUUCUGCCAAUCAAAAUGGUUCAUGCAGUAAAUUCUGCAAGUCUGAAACAUAGUAUAUUAUAUAUGUUCUAGAGUUCAUAAUGCAAAAUAAUCUAAUUUCACAACCUUGUGCCGAAUAAGAAAAUGAUUCACAUUUGAUUUUAUAGUUCUUUUUUGCUACAGAUACCAAUGGGCAACACAUAUGGCAGUUUGUCAUGGUGCUGUCAUUAAUCCAAUUCUGAUCAUCUUUUCUUGGAACAUUCUUUCUAGUUUCUUUUGUUUUUGGAAACUCCAGGACUGUGGCUGUGAUCCGGACAAUGACUUUUGUUGCCACGGAGAGGAAUGAGCUGAAAGAUGAGAACACUACAUUACAAGCUGAAACAUCCCAGCUCCAAAAGGAGCUGCAGGGGAGAUCGAGUUAUAAUCCCACAUGGAGCAACAACAUCAAUUCAAUGACUCCCACUCAGCCGCAGCCGACUGCCACAGGGCUUCCAAUGCUGCAUCAGCCAGUUGCUAAUGGAUCCACACAAGCAACCCCCAUUCGGCAGCUCCAGCACUUUUCCGGUGGAAAGAACAAGCACUCCACCACCAACGCCGCCUGGUCCUUCCCGGGUGAUGAGACUACAUGCCGGAUAUCCGACUUUGUCGGACUUGGGUCGGGUCUUCUCCUUUGGACUUCUCACCAGUAUCACAAGAAGAGAGAUGUGGUAGCUGUGGCAUUAGUACUAGCAGCGAGGAGGAAGGAUGUAAUAAAGCAUCCACUGGUAUAUCACUAUAAUCAAGAAAUGUACAUUGCAAAUCCGAUUAUUUUUUCCCCAUUUGUUAAUGAUCAAAAUGAAGAAUGUCACUGACGCAUUACAAGAAUUCAUGAAUGUGAUGUUGCCAAAGGCAAAACGGUGAGUUUGUGGGGAAGCAGUAUUGAUGGCUUGAGUUAAUCUGUAUAUAUGUAUUUCUCUGAAUCAUUGGAUUCAGGCUUCUUUCA